This 253-nucleotide ribosomal RNA is filed under the name uncultured bacterium. RNAcentral describes it as "partial 16S ribosomal RNA". It matches the Rfam family "Bacterial small subunit ribosomal RNA", at positions 524 to 776 of the family's 1533-position model. The record is from RNAcentral.
UACGUAGGGGGCAAGCGUUGUUCGGAUUCAUUGGGCGUAAAGGGUGUGUAGGAGGCUAGGUAAGUCAGGUGUGAAAUCUCAGAGCUUAACUCUGAAACUGCGCUUGAUACUGCUUGGCUAGAGGAUCGGAGGGGGUAACGGAAUUUAUGGUGUAGCAGUGAAAUGCGUAGAUAUCAUAAGGAACACCGGUGGCGAAGGCGGUUACCUGGAAGAUUCCUGACUCUGAAACACGAAAGCCAGGGGAGCAAACGGG